UACAGUGUGGUGUAGUGGUUUGAAUGUUGGACUAUGAUUCUAGAGACCAAGAUUCAAUUCAUGGCUCUGCCA
Molecule: non-coding RNA, 72 nt
Organism: Phrynosoma platyrhinos (Desert horned lizard)
Lineage: Eukaryota; Metazoa; Chordata; Lepidosauria; Squamata; Phrynosomatidae
Source: the annotation of a GenBank genome assembly